This 841-nucleotide long non-coding RNA is filed under the name Aedes aegypti (yellow fever mosquito). RNAcentral describes it as "lncRNA AAEL025834". Lineage: Eukaryota; Metazoa; Arthropoda; Insecta; Diptera; Culicidae. The record is from RNAcentral.
GACGUUUGAUCACGAAUUACCCACGGAUUCAUCGUUUGUGGUUCUGAUUUGUGCAUCAGAGAUCCGGAUCUACUUUUUUUUUUGUAUUUAAGUGGUAAAAGUUUUGUAUUUGAGAGAAUUUCAACAAUCCAUGGCCUUUUAGAAAUACCUCAUGAGGAGUGGAUGCAUAUGAGACGGUACCAAUCCUCAGAGUCUAUGAAUGGAGAGUUGCGCGAAGAGACUUCUUUGAAUGGUUGUUCUUCUUCGUCUUCGAAAACAGCCCCUAUCUGUUUUGCUGGUCUGCUCGAUAGGUAGACGGUUUGACAGUUCGAUAGGUAGAUUUGGUAUCACUCUUCGCGCAACUCUCCAUUCAUAAACUCUGCCAAUCCUAUCUCCGGAAGCGAUUUGAUGUCUAUGAGAUACCUGAUUCAAAGAUUUCCAAAAACUGUCGACCUUAUAAAGCGACAUUUCUGUUCAAUCUUGAAAUUCACGAUUUCCUCCUCAAAAACAAGCAGGUGGAGCACAAGCUUUGCCUGGUGCUUCUUAAUGGUUUUUCAUUGAGGGUAGUUAUCAACAUUGUGCGUGAAAGCCGUAGCUCAACUAAAUCCUCUCUGAAAUGGAUGGUGUCCUGGAAAGGCAAAAACGGCCAACGAUGGAUAACGCUCCAGAUGUCGGAUGAAGAAAUGCGUUGGACAUCUUCCGGGGAUCUUUGUUUGGAGUGUCCAUUGGCAUGGUAACACUCAUUUGGAUGUGAAUACAUAGAAAUAAAUAAUUUCAUAAAUAUGAAGCUUGAAAGUUGAAAACGAAUAAUGUGCCAUUAUGAAAAAAAAAAAACAAUAAAAACAGGAAAAAUUUGAGCUUA